Long non-coding RNA from Molossus molossus (Pallas's mastiff bat), 477 nucleotides. RefSeq lists it as uncharacterized. The record is from RefSeq and is a predicted model, not a curated record. Lineage: Eukaryota; Metazoa; Chordata; Mammalia; Chiroptera; Molossidae. The transcript has 3 exons.
CCUACAUGACCCAACCGGGGCCGGGGACACACCACAACUGAGAGAGGAAUGGAGAGGGAGAGGGGUAGAAACAAGGACAGCCUCUUUUACAGCCUCCCAGUGGAUGUCCUUGCAGACCCCUUGGCCAGGCUUGGGUCAGCCCUCUAUAGGUCAUUGAAAGGAGUGGCAUGGGAGGCAACCAACAUCUACUAUCUGGAAAUUUUAUUGGAGUGGAAAAUUUAAAUGAAAAACAACAGUGAGAAAAGAGCAGGCCCCUGGAGGAAUGGAAACAGGAGGGUGAAGCUAAUCUCCCAGAAGGAUGGACCUGAGGCCUCAUCUGAGAUGGAACGGGGACUCCUUUACUUGCCCGGAGGUGGGCUUCCACGGGAGGCAUCGACCCCCUUCUUUCCUCCACUGUCUCAGGAAGGCCUUUUCCAACACUACUCCAGCAUUCUCCUCCCUGCCUCGUAACACUGAUCCUGGCCAGACACACUGGGC